Molecule: long non-coding RNA, 1414 nt
Organism: Vitis riparia (riverbank grape)
Lineage: Eukaryota; Viridiplantae; Streptophyta; Magnoliopsida; Vitales; Vitaceae
Exons: 4
Source: RefSeq, a predicted model, not a curated record
UCAUUAACUUAAAACAAUGAUGCACUGAUGUUAUCUCGCAUUUCUAAGCUUAAUUUGCUACAUAACAAGGCCUAACCCCAACUUAGGGUAAAGUAACGAAUUCUAUUCUGUAUUCCACUUUGUUGGGUUAUAGUUUUCUGAUGAAAAAAAGCUUCAUUGCAUUUUGUCACUAACUUAACCCACCUAUAUUGUUGGUCUCCGCUUUGUGUCUAUUGCACCUCAUAGCAAGGGAAAAGAAAAUGAAAGUAAAGGAAAAUCUAUCUGUUUCUUUUCAUGAUUUUACUCUAUGUUGCACAUUAAAGUUGUCUUGUCCUUUUGUCCCCACAUGGUUGCUAUAUUUUCCAAUAAUGCUAUAUUUUCCAAUAAAGCAUUCAUUUUCUGUUAAAUCUUUGCUUACUUCUCACCCAUUUAAGAUUCUUAAUUUCUUAUAUAAUCAUUUUAUACAUAUGUUUUGGAGCCAAUGAACAGUUUGUAUCAUGAAGCUGUUCAGCUUAGUAGGUACAAAGUAAUGUCCUCUUAGUGGAAACUGGAAUAGAGAUACAUUUGUAUUUAUUGAUUUAUUUAUUUAUUUUUGCGUUAGAUUGUAGGGAGGAAUGGCUUAUCUUUAUGCAUGUAAAACCACUGUUCUUUUUAUUGGCUAUAUUGUUUUUUUUCCCUUUUAUAUAUUUCAAAAUCAAACAAUGCAUUUCAUUGAAUUACAAACGUGUGGAGCAAUGAGAAUGCAUUUCAGUGAAAUAUACUGUUCUUUUUAUGCAAGUCGUGGGAUCUAAUGAGAAUGCAAUAUUCAGGGCACGCAGCCAGGUUUUUGAUUGUAACUCUAUGCUUUCAAUUCUGCACAAACUUCUAACUUAUAUAUUCUAUUAAUUGGUUCCCAUAUUUGUUGUAAAAGUUGUUCCAAACUUCUAAGUGGUGAUCCUCAUGUUCGUCUAAUGGGUUCUUUCUCAGAUAUUCUUGAUUCAUGGAGUAAAUCCACCAAGGCACCAAGCCUAGAGACCCUGUUCUUAUGUUGCAAGUGUAGGAUUGCCAGAAUUAAGUUAUAGUGGAUACCAGCGACAUGCCUAUAUUUGGGAUGAUUAUCCUUCACUUCAAGAUAUCUUGGAUGUGAGAUAAAGGUAGCAACAACUAUGUGGGUUGGCAUUCUGAUGAUGAAAGCUUUAUGGUUCAACCUCGGAAAUUGCAUCUAUUUCUUUUUGGUUGUGAACGUGAGUUCUUCUUGAAGAGAAAACCUAGUAAAGCGUCCCAAGCAUGGAUCAAUGUUCGUGAUGAGAGGCUGCACUUGGAGAGACUGGGUCCACUUAGUCCCCUAGUGUGCUAAAGGAGAUGCAACCCGCAUUAACCUCACCUUCAGGCAUGCUAUUCGAUGGGCUGUUGGAUAAGGGGGAUAGGUAAUUCAUCGUCAAGCGUCUAUUCUAUU